GACGAACGCUGGCGGCGUGCUUAAUACAUGCAAGUCAACUGAACUUUAGGUAGCAAUAUUUAAAGGGAGGUGGCGCACGGGUGAGUAACACGUAGGUAAUCUGCCUUCAGGACUGACAUAAUUCCGCGAAAGCGGGACUAAAAUCAGAUGAUGCAGCGGCUCGACAUCGAGACAGUUGUUAAACCUUCGGGGCCUGAAGAUGAGCCUGCGUCUGAUUAGGUAGUUGGCGGGGUAAUGGCCCACCAAGCCUGCGAUCAGUAGCUGGUCUGAGAGGAUGAUCAGCCACACUGGAACUGAGACACGGUCCAGACUCCUACGGGAGGCAGCAGUAAGGAAUAUUGCUCAAUGGGAGAAAUCCUGAAGCAGCAACGCCGCGUGGAGGAUGAAAUACUUUAGUAUGUAAACUCCUGUAAGAGGGGAAAAAUAUACAGUUCUGCUGUAUUGAUUGUACCCUCAGAGUAAGCACCGGCUAACUACGUG
This 480-nucleotide ribosomal RNA is filed under the name uncultured organism. RNAcentral describes it as "bacterial SSU rRNA". It matches the Rfam family "Bacterial small subunit ribosomal RNA", at positions 28 to 507 of the family's 1533-position model. The record is from RNAcentral.